CUGCGUCAUUGCGAGCGUAGCGAAGCAGUCCAGGGCAUCCUGAUCCGGCACUGGAUUGCUUCGCUACGCUCGCAAUGACGAGC
Molecule: microRNA precursor, 83 nt
Filed under: Sphingomonas endophytica
Lineage: Bacteria; Pseudomonadati; Pseudomonadota; Alphaproteobacteria; Sphingomonadales; Sphingomonadaceae
Description: microRNA MIR1846
Source: RNAcentral